GCCAACUCUGUGCCCUCUAGUCUUUGUUGGACUAUAACUCCCAUCAAUAGCCAGUGGUCAGGGAUGAUGGGAGUUAGGAGACCAACAAAGACUAGAGGGCACAGAGUUGAC
Non-coding RNA from Podarcis lilfordi (Lilford's wall lizard), 111 nucleotides. The record is from the annotation of a GenBank genome assembly. Lineage: Eukaryota; Metazoa; Chordata; Lepidosauria; Squamata; Lacertidae.